This 47-nucleotide microRNA precursor is filed under the name Jaculus jaculus (lesser Egyptian jerboa). Its description in RNAcentral is "miRNA (ENSJJAG00000005758.1)". Lineage: Eukaryota; Metazoa; Chordata; Mammalia; Rodentia; Dipodidae. The record is from RNAcentral.
CGGGGCCGCCUCCUCGGCUCCCGGCGGCGGCGGCGGCGGGGACGGCG